RNAcentral lists this ribosomal RNA (1137 nucleotides) under uncultured organism. Its description in RNAcentral is "bacterial SSU rRNA". It matches the Rfam family "Bacterial small subunit ribosomal RNA", at positions 155 to 1295 of the family's 1533-position model. The record is from RNAcentral.
AAGGAGGAUUAAUACCGGAUGUGACCACCCUGCGAUUGCAGGGGAAGCUAAAGGAUUUAUUCACUUCCCGAGGGGCUCGCGGUCCAUCAGCUUGUUGGUGAGGGUAACGGCCCACCAAGGCGACAACGGGUAGCUGGUCUGAGAGGAUGGUCAGCCACACUGGAACUGAGACACGGUCCAGACACCUACGGGUGGCAGCAGUCGAGAAUCAUUCGCAAUGGGGGAAACCCUGACGAUGCGACGCCGCGUGGAGGAUGAAGGCCUUAGGGUUGUAAACUCCUGUCAAGAGGGAAUAAGCAAGUGAAGGUACCUCUAGAGGAAGGGGCGGCUAAUUCCGUGCCAGCAGCCGCGGUAACACGGAAGCCCCGAGCGUUGUUCGGAUUCAUUGGGCGUAAAGGGUGCGUAGGCGGCGCGGAAAGUCCGGCGUGAAAGGCAGAGGCUCAACCUCUGGACUGCGUUGGAUACUUCCGUGCUUGAGGACUGGAGGGGAGACUGGAAUUCACGGUGUAGCAGUGAAAUGCGUAGAUAUCGUGAGGAAGACCGGUGGCGAAGGCGAGUCUCUGGACAGAUCCUGACGCUGAGGCACGAAGGCUGGGGGAGCGAACAGGAUUAGAUACCCUGGUAGUCCCAGCAGUAAACGAUGUGAGCUUGAUGUGGGGGGAUUCGACCCCUUCCGUGUCGAAGCUAACGCGAUAAGCUCACCGCCUGAGGAGUACGGCCGCAAGGCUAAAACUCAAAGAAAUUGACGGGGACCCGCACAAGCGGUGGAGUAUGUGGCUUAAUUCGAUGCAACGCGAAGAACCUUACCUGGCCUUGACAUGCAUUGUGUCGUCGGUGAAAGCCGGCUAGUCCUGGAAACAGGACGCUUUGCACAGGUGCUGCAUGGCUGUCGUCAGCUCGUGUCGUGAGAUGUUGGGUUAAGUCCCGCAACGAGCGCAACCCUUGUGGUCAGUUACUAACCGGCUUAGCCGGAGGACUCUGGCCAGACUGCCCUGUCGAACGGGGAGGAAGGUGGGGACGACGUCAAGUCAGUAUGGCCCUUAUGGCCAGGGCUGCACACGUACUACAAUGCCCGGUACAAUGUGAACCGAAACCGCGAGGUGGAGGAAAUCGCUCUUGAAAACCGGGCCCAGUUCG